GGGGAUUUAGCUCAGCGGUAGAGCGCUUGCCUAGCACAUGCAAGGCCCUGGGUUCAGUCCCCA
This 63-nucleotide transfer RNA is filed under the name Rattus norvegicus (Norway rat). It matches the Rfam family "tRNA". From Rfam's summary of the family: Transfer RNA (tRNA) molecules are approximately 80 nucleotides in length. The record is from Rfam by way of RNAcentral. Lineage: Eukaryota; Metazoa; Chordata; Mammalia; Rodentia; Muridae.